This 255-nucleotide ribosomal RNA is filed under the name uncultured bacterium. RNAcentral's name for it is "partial 16S ribosomal RNA". It matches the Rfam family "Bacterial small subunit ribosomal RNA", at positions 524 to 777 of the family's 1533-position model. The record is from RNAcentral.
UACGUAGGGACCGAGCGUUGUCCGGAAUCAUUGGGCGUAAAGAGCGUGUGGGCGGCCUUUUAAGUCCUGCGUGAAAUCCUGCGGCUCAACCGCAGACGUCGUGGGAAACUGGAAGGCUAGAGUGCGGGAGAGGAGAGUGGAAUUCCCGGUGUAGCGGUGAAAUGCGCAGAUAUCGGGAAGAACACCCGUGGCGAAGGCGGCUCUCUGGAACGCAACGUGACGCUGAGACGCGGAAAGCGUGGGGAGCAAACAGGG